CCUACGGGAGGCAGCAGUGGGGAAUAUUGCACAAUGGGGGAAACCCUGAUGCAGCGACGCCGCGUGAGUGAAGAAGUAUUUCGGUAUGUAACGCUCUAUCAGCAGGGAAGAAAAAAGACGGUACCUGACUAAGAAGCCCCGGCUAACUACGUGCCAGUAGCCGCGGUAAUACGUAGGGGGCAAGCGUUAUCCGGAAUUACUGGGUGGAAAGGGUGCGUAGGUGGCAUGGUAAGUCAGAAGUGAAAGCACGGGGCUUAACCCCGGGACUGCUUUUGAAACUGUCAUGCUGGAGUGCAGGAGAGGUAAGCGGAAUUCCUAGUGUAGCGGUGAUAUGCGUAGAUAUUAGGAGGAACACCAGUGGCGAAGGCGGCUUACUGGACUGUCACUGACACUGAUGCACGAAAGCGUGGGGAGCAAACAGGAUUAGAUACCCCUGUAGUC
RNAcentral lists this ribosomal RNA (441 nucleotides) under uncultured bacterium. Its description in RNAcentral is "partial 16S ribosomal RNA". It matches the Rfam family "Bacterial small subunit ribosomal RNA", at positions 338 to 795 of the family's 1533-position model. The record is from RNAcentral.